Molecule: non-coding RNA, 221 nt
Organism: Mesorhizobium huakuii 7653R
Lineage: Bacteria; Pseudomonadati; Pseudomonadota; Alphaproteobacteria; Hyphomicrobiales; Phyllobacteriaceae
Source: Rfam
GAAGUCCGUCACGAUGAAGGAGUAGCAAACCACAUCGGCCCUGAGCCAUGCGCAGGCGCUCGCGAGGGCGUCGGCGAAGCGUUGGCAGGGGAGCAUGUAGGCCAGCCAUUGAGCCGCGAAAUCGCCUCAUCUUGGAUGCCGACGCCGUUGUCAUGGCGGAAGGCAACAUGGGAAGGUGCGCUACUGCGAGCACCCGACCAAUCCGGCGCGGUCGUAGACCC